GGACUACUGGGGUAUCUAAUCCUGUUUGCUCCCCACGCUUUCGCGCAUCAGCGUCAGUAACGGGCCAGUGAGUCGCCUUCGCCACUGGUGUUCUUCCGAAUAUCUACGAAUUUCACCUCUACACUCGGAGUUCCACUCACCUCUCCCGUACUCAAGAUGUCCAGUAUCGAAGGCAAUUCCAGGGUUGAGCCCUGGGCUUUCACCCCCGACUUAAACAUCCGCCUACGCGCCCUUUACGCCCAGUAAUUCCGAGCAACGCUAGCCCCCUUCGUAUUACCGCGGCUGCUGGCAC
RNAcentral lists this ribosomal RNA (292 nucleotides) under uncultured Alphaproteobacteria bacterium. RNAcentral describes it as "partial 16S ribosomal RNA". The record is from RNAcentral. Lineage: Bacteria; Pseudomonadati; Pseudomonadota; Alphaproteobacteria.